Phascolarctos cinereus (koala) is the source of this 1764-nucleotide non-coding RNA. The record is from RefSeq and is a predicted model, not a curated record. Lineage: Eukaryota; Metazoa; Chordata; Mammalia; Diprotodontia; Phascolarctidae.
AGAGAGAGAGACAGAGACAGAGAUAGAGACAGAGAGACAGAGAGGUUCUAAGUCUGACAGAAGGUACUCAGCAAAAGAAGCAAUAGGUCGUUUGUGGAAGAUGAGAGGGAAAAGAAGAGGGAAGACUAGUUUCAGUGAAAGGAGGGAAGGAUACUUGCCUACUCAGAAACAAGAGAUAAGAAUGGGGGAAAUGUUAAAAGGAACUCCAAUUUUUGGAUUUACUUUUGCCUGGAGGUCAGCAGUGACAGAAGAGGAUCAUGGCAAAGUCCUCUAAUGGAGCUAAGGAAAGAAGAGAAGUUGUAUUCCUCCUUCUGCUUAGGAAUCCUGAUGAAGGAGGUUGUGCCAAUAGCAUUAGCCUUUAAUCUACUAAUAGAUUGAAAUUUUCAGGUUGGGAGCCCUUCUUGGAAACAUUGGUCUGGAAGACUGGAUACCUGGAUUCCAGCUCCAGGUCUCCAUUUUGUGUGUUAACACUAAGCAGGUUUCUUUCUACCCUUGAUUUCCUCCUUUGCAAAAUGAGCUGGUUGAACUAGUCAAGAGUUAACCUUUUUAUGUCAUGUACCCCUUUAGUAGUAUGAUGAAACCCACAGACCCCUUCUCAGAAUAAUGUUUUUAAAUAAUUGAAGGAAACGCUAAAUUUCAGUUAGGGUCAGUGAAAAUAAAGAUGUAACUAUUUUCUGUAUCCAAAUUCAUAGACCCUUCCAACCCCGUGGAAGCAGUAAGAACUGCUUAUCUGGGUGAUUUCUAAGGUACCAGAACUUGUAGUGCCAACAUUCUAUGAUCUUUAUCCUUAUUCUGACCUCAAGACACUGGGCCAUGGAUUUCCUCCUUCAGAGGAGAUAGAGGGGAGAUAAUGGGGUUGUGUGGUUUUCCUAUCUUUUCUCCAGGACAACAGAGAAACAAAAUGGGGUCUUGAGGCAACUGGAUGUGAAACAAUCAUAGCAGUAAUAGCAGGAUUUCUAUUUCUGACUGUUUUUCUUAUGACAUGAAAGUGAGAAAAAGGUUGCUAUUGACUGAGUAUAUCCCCUGUAGUCCUUAGGGGUGGUUGUUAUUAUUCAGUCAUUCACUUGUGUCCAACUCUUUGUGAACCCAUGGACCAUACCACACUUGGCCCUUCUAUCCUCCACUAUCUCUUGAAAUCUGUCCAACUUAGUGCUCCUUGUUUCCAUGACACUAUGCAUAUCUCAUUCUCUUCUGUCCUCUUUUCCUUUUGCCUUCAAUUUUUCCUAACAUCAGGGUCUUUUCCAAUGAGUUCUCAUUCCGUAGCCAAAGUAUUUAAGCUUCAGCAUCAGUAUUUGACCUCCCAGUUAAUGGCCUGAAUGAAUUUCUUUUAAGGAUUGACUGAUUUGAUCUCCUUAGAGACUCUUAAAAGUCUUCUCUAGCAGUACUUGAGGAAAGGGUGGCGUUAAAGGGAGAGAUUCUUUUGGGAUACCUAGUGAGUAUUUUUCAGCGAGGAUUACUUUUGCAUGUUUGGGUUUGGAGGCACAGAAUUAAAACUUUAGACCCUGCUCUGAUCUUCUGGUUUGUCACAGGGUUUGUCCCCAGUUCCACCACUCUCAUUUGGCUAUCCUACACCCUCUCCCAAUCUGGUGCUUCUGUUCUCCCUCUGCUCAAUAUGAUCAGUGACUCUGGUCUCCCAUUCCUAAGCAAGACCUUCCAUCUACUGACUUUAUGCAUUUUCACUAUCUGUCUCCCACUUCUGGAAUUCUCUCCCUCUUCAUUUUGGCUUCCUUUAAGUCCCAGCUAAAAUCCUACCUUUUGCAAGAA